This 253-nucleotide ribosomal RNA is filed under the name uncultured bacterium. Its description in RNAcentral is "partial 16S ribosomal RNA". It matches the Rfam family "Bacterial small subunit ribosomal RNA", at positions 524 to 776 of the family's 1533-position model. The record is from RNAcentral.
UACGUAGGGGGCAAGCGUUAUCCGGAUUUACUGGGUGUAAAGGGAGCGUAGACGGCGAAGAAAGUCUGAAGUGAAAGCCCGCGGCUCAACCGCGGAAUGGCUUUGGAAACUUUUUUGCUGGAGUACCGGAGAGGUAAGCGGAAUUCCUAGUGUAGCGGUGAAAUGCGUAGAUAUUAGGAGGAACACCAGUGGCGAAGGCGGCUUACUGGACGGUAACUGACGUUGAGGCUCGAAAGCGUGGGGAGCAAACAGG